Molecule: long non-coding RNA, 3091 nt
Filed under: Homo sapiens (human)
Lineage: Eukaryota; Metazoa; Chordata; Mammalia; Primates; Hominidae
Description: HSALNT0404537
Source: RNAcentral
UGGAGCUGGUACUAAGACCCAGGACUUCUGGGGCUUGAAGACCCUGGGUCUGCGGGAAGCCCCUGCUGAGCGUCCCUCGCCUACCCCGUGGCCAGUGGGUGAGUAGGGCUAGAUCUCCGCCCAUCUAGGUCCCCUUCUGCUCCAGCUCCAGCGUCUGACAUCCCAAGGAAGGAACGCAGGGUGGGGGCAUUUGAGCCGGACCUGAGCCAUCCUCAUGGUUUUCAAAAAGUAGCCUUAUUGUGGUGUAAUUGACAGACGCUUUUCAGUGCAGAAACCACCUUAUCUAUGUGACAAAGCUCGGGCCAUCAGUGGCAAGGUAGAUUGGCAUCACGUACCUUUGAUACAACAACCUGAGAAGGACGUCACUUCUGCGAUAUUCCUGCCAAAAAUGCAUCUCCGCAUUCCGAUCGUGAGAACAUCCUGGGCACACCCAAACUGAGAGACACCAUACAAAGUGACUGGUCAGUGCACUCAAAGGCAAAAAGCUCAUGGAAGGCAACAGAAGACAGGAGAAGUGACAGCUAAAAGCAGCGUGGAAUCCUGGAAGGGACAAAGAACACGAGCAGAGAAACUGUAGAAGCUGAGUGAGGGCAGCGGUCCAGCUUGCGCUGUUUUGCUGGGCCUCAGGUUUUCCUUAGGAUUCCGUGUGUGUUCCCCGCCUGGCCCCUCCGCAGCGACUCUGCUGUCAGUGGCUGCCCCAGGGUGGAGAGUGACCUACCUCCGGCUUCUCCUGUCCCGGCUUCUCCUGUGCCAGCCGGUCAGGCACACUGACAAACUUAGCCUUCCGUUCUGUUGGUCUGUGAUGACCGUUUCCACGUCCUGCUUUCUGAGAGCAUUUGCCUGGUGUAGACGUCCCCGUUUUCAGCGGUUAUGCGUCCCUCUAGUUUCGGUGAUGCCCUGAGGUUUACUUCCUGCAUUUUUAAGCCCACGUUUCCCCAGCACUCAUGUGUGGCCAGCGUCUGAUUCUUCCUCCAGAGCAAGACAGGGAAGCCACUGCACUUCAGCUGCCUUCACAAGUCUCCUCUGCCACCCCCGCUGAGGCCGUCUGGAAGUUUAAUUCUAGGCUAUUAUUAAAUUUCUAUAAAAUUGUUUCAACUUUACUGAGAUAUAAUUCACAAAUAGGAAUUGUGUAUAGUUAAGGUGUAUGACUUGAUGUUCUGAUACACGCUGUGAAUGAUCACUGCAGUCAAGCUAUUUCACAUGCUCACACCUCACAGUGACUACCAAGUUGGUGAAAAGAGUAACUGCGGUGUUUGCAAUUAGAAGCAAUUAUUUUUGCACCAACCUAAAAUAUUUUCUUUUUUUUUUUUUUUUUGUCGCCCAGCCUGGACUGCCGUGGUGAAAUCUUGGCUCACUGCAGCCUCUGCUUCCCAGGUUCAAUCAAUCUUGCCACCUCAGCCUCCCCAGUAGCUGGGACUAUGGGCACGUGCCACCAUGUCCAGCUAGUUUUUUUUGUUUUUUUUUUUUUUUGUAUUUUUAGUAGAGAUGGGGUUUCGCCAUGUUGCCCAGACUGGUCUUGAACUCCUGGCCUCAAGUGAUCCACCCACCGUCGGCCUCCCAAAGUGCUGGGAUUACAGGCAUGAGCCACCGCACCAGCUUCUUUUAUUUUCUUUGUGUGUGUUGAGAACACUUAAGAUCUAUCCUCUCAGCCCAUGUCCAGCAUCCAGUACAGCAUUGUUAACCAUGGCCACCUAGGACAGCGCUCCCCAGAAACUGAAUUUGCCAGCACCUUGAUCGUGGACUUCCAGCCUCCAGAACAGCGAGAAGAAUCGCUUCUAGGUUUUGACCAGCCGGCCUGUGGCAUUUUGCUACAACAGCCUGGGCAGCCUGCAGUGCUCUGUGCUUUGUUCUCUUUCAUUUUGUUUUGUUUUCUGUAAUUCACCUUUGAGAAACUCGUUCAGGAAGGAUGCAUGGGUGACAUUUUCUGCAUCCUCACAUUUUGUCACUGGGUGUGGCCGGGUCUGUGAGUCUAGACACAAAGCCAGUCACCUGGGGACGCUGCCACCUGAAGGCCUGCGUGGCCGGGUCUGUGACUGUAGACACAAAGCCAGUCACCUGGGGACGCUGCCACCUGAAGGCCUGCGUGGCCGGGUCUGUGACUCUAGACAAAAAGCCAGUCACCUGGGAACUCUGGGACACCCUCUUCUCUCACCCAUUGCUGUGGGGAAGCCUGGGGAUGGGUUUUCUUGUUUUGGUUUUUUAUCAUGUUGGUGUUUUGUUUUGUUUUUUUUUUGAGAUGGAGUUUCCCUCUUGUCUCCCAGGCUAGAGUGCAAUGGCGUGAUCUCGGCUCACUGCAACCUCCGCCUCCUGGGUUCAAGCGAUUCUCCUGCCUCAGCCUCCUGAGUAGCUGGGAUUACAGGCAUGCACCACCACGCCUGGCUAAUUUUUGUAUUUUUAGUAGAGACGGGGUUUCACCAUGUUGGUCAGGCUGGUCCCGAACUCCUGACUUCAGGUGAUCCACGCACCUCGGCCUCCCAAAGUGCUGAGAUUACAAGCAUGAGCCAUCGCACCCAGCCCAUAGUGGUUUUUAAAUCUUUCCUUUUGCCCUCAUUGUUCUAAAAUUUUAUGAAGAUGAAGACAUAUCUCGUGUCUCAUUCACGGAGAGCCGAUUCUGUAACAGCCGCUGCUCUGGGCGCCGGGAGAAACCGUGAGGAGCAGGCAGAGCUUCCGUCGCGGGGCCCACAGGGCCCAGGUGUGCAUUAUUUCCCUCCCAUCAAUCCUGUUCUUCUUCUGAAACUCUCAGUGUGCAGAUGUUGGAAUGUCUGGCUUCGUCCUCCAUUUCCUUUUUUUUUUUUUUCAUACUUUCCCUCUAUCUCGCUCUGCUGUGUACAAAAAAACUUGGGCAUUUUCAAGUACAAAGCAAAGGAAGCAAUAAAGCAUCCCCAGAUAUUUGAGGAAAGCUGACAUCACAAAGUGGAGAAUUCCUUGACUGUGUGUUCCAGGCACAAGUUCGUUCUUCAGCCUUUUCUUCCUGUUAUUCACCCCAUCACUUUUUAAUUUUUUUUGGAUGUCACAUUUUUCAUAUUUAUAUUUUCAGUUCCGUUUUUAAGGCUGUAUCUUCUCUAUGGAUAAAUAAACCUGUGAAGACGUA